GACGAACGCUGGCGGCGUGCUUAACACAUGCAAGUCGAACGAAGAGCGAUGGAAGCUUGCUUCUAUCAAUCUUAGUGGCGAACGGGUGAGUAACGCGUAAUCAACCUGCCCUUCAGAGGGGGACAACAGUUGGAAACGACUGCUAAUACCGCAUACGAUCUAAUCUCGGCAUCGAGGAUAGAUGAAAGGUGGCCUCUACAUGUAAGCUAUCACUGAAGGAGGGGAUUGCGUCUGAUUAGCUAGUUGGAGGGGUAACGGCCCACCAAGGCGAUGAUCAGUAGCCGGUCUGAGAGGAUGAACGGCCACAUUGGGACUGAGACACGGCCCAGACUCCUACGGGAGGCAGCAGUGGGGAAGCUUCCGCAAUGGACGAAAGUCUGACGGAGCAACGCCGCGUGAGUGAUGACGGCCUUCGGGUUGUAAAGCUCUGUUAAUCGGGACGAGAGGCCUUCUUGCGAAUAGUGAGAAGGAUUGACGGUACCGGAAUAGAAAGCCACGGCUAACUACGUG
RNAcentral lists this ribosomal RNA (510 nucleotides) under uncultured bacterium. Its description in RNAcentral is "partial 16S ribosomal RNA". It matches the Rfam family "Bacterial small subunit ribosomal RNA", at positions 28 to 507 of the family's 1533-position model. The record is from RNAcentral.